This 1025-nucleotide ribosomal RNA is filed under the name uncultured bacterium. RNAcentral describes it as "bacterial SSU rRNA". It matches the Rfam family "Bacterial small subunit ribosomal RNA", at positions 311 to 1352 of the family's 1533-position model. The record is from RNAcentral.
CACUGGACUGAGACACGGCCCAGACUCCUACGGAGCAGCAGUGGGGAAUAUGCACAAUGGCGCAAGCUGAUGCAGCGACGCCGCGUGAGGGAUGACGGCCUUCGGGUGUAAACCUCUUUCAGUAGGGAAGAAGCCUUCGGGUGACGGUACCUGCAGAAGAAGCGCCGGCUAACUACGUGCCAGCAGCCGCGGUAAUACGUAGGGCGCGAGCGUUAUCCGGAAUUAUUGGGCGUAAAGAGCUCGUAGGCGGUUUGUCGCGUCUGCUGUGAAAGCCCGGGGCUUAACUCCGGGUGUGCAGUGGGUACGGGCAGACUAGAGUGCAGUAGGGGAGACUGGAAUUCCUGGUGUAGCGGUGAAAUGCGCAGAUAUCAGGAGGAACACCGAUGGCGAAGGCAGGUCUCUGGGCUGUUACUGACGCUGAGGAGCGAAAGCAUGGGGAGCGAACAGGAUUAGAUACCCUGGUAGUCCAUGCCGUAAACGUUGGGCAUUAGGUGUGGGGGACAUUCCACGUUUUCCGCGCCGUAGCUAACGCAUUAAGUGCCCCGCCUGGGGAGUACGGCCGCAAGGCUAAAACUCAAAGGAAUUGACGGGGGCCCGCACAAGCGGCGGAGCAUGCGGAUUAAUUCGAUGCAACGCGAAGAACCUUACCAAGGCUUGACAUGUGCCAGACCGCCAUAGAGAUAUGGUUUCCCUUUUGGGCUGGUUCACAGGUGGUGCAUGGUUGUCGUCAGCUCGUGUCGUGAGAUGUUGGGUUAAGUCCCGCAACGAGCGCAACCCUCGUUCCAUGUUGCCAGCGGGUUAUGCCGGGGACUCAUGGGAGACUGCCGGGGUCAAUUCGGAGGAAGGUGGGGACGACGUCAAAUCAUCAUGCCCCUUAUGUCUUGGGCUUCACGCAUGCUACAAUGGCCGGUACAAUGGGUUGCGAUACUGUGAGGUUGAGCUAAUCCCAAAAAGCCGGUCUCAGUUCGGAUUGGGGUCUGCAACUCGACCCCAUGAAGUCGGAGUCGCUAGUAAUCGCAGAUCAG